RNAcentral lists this ribosomal RNA (347 nucleotides) under uncultured fungus. Its description in RNAcentral is "SSU rRNA". It matches the Rfam family "Eukaryotic small subunit ribosomal RNA", at positions 28 to 371 of the family's 1831-position model. Lineage: Eukaryota; Fungi. The record is from RNAcentral.
AUGCUUGUCUCAAAGAUUAAGCCAUGCAUGUCUAAGUAUAAACAAAUCUAUACUGUGAAACUGCGAAUGGCUCAUUAAAUCAGUUAUAGUUUAUUUGAUAAUACCUUACUACUUGGAUAACCGUAGUAAUUCUAGAGCUAAUAUAUGCUGAAAAGCCCCGACUUCUGGAAGGGGUGUAUUUAUUAGAUUCAAAACCAAUGGCCAGCAAUGGUCACACUUGGUGAUUCAUAAUAACUUUUGCGGAUCGCAUAGCUUUACGCUGGCGACGAAUCAUUCAAAUUUCUGCCCUAUCAACUUUCGAUGGUACGGUAUUGGCCUACCAUGGUUACAACGGGUAACGGGGAAUA